Brachypodium distachyon (stiff brome) is the source of this 2606-nucleotide long non-coding RNA. RefSeq lists it as uncharacterized. The record is from RefSeq and is a predicted model, not a curated record. The transcript is spliced from 2 exons. Lineage: Eukaryota; Viridiplantae; Streptophyta; Magnoliopsida; Poales; Poaceae.
UCUAAUGGCGUAGUCCAUAUUGAAUCGUGAUCGAAUUAAUAGCUAAAACGUUCUCUUAUAAUACGCCUUGCGUGUUUGGAAACGUACACUUGAGCCGUAUCCAUCGCCCAGCACUUUUUUUUACCGCCCAUCGGCCAUCGCCCUGCAAACGAGGUCUUCCCCUGCCCCUAUCCAAACAGAUCGCCACACCAAAUCACGCCGCCAAUUCGAUCCUCCGAUGGAUCCGCCGACGGCAGAAGCGGUGAGUGCGGCACGGCGGCGCGGGAAUUUUCCGAGCAGAGCCUGCAGCUGGGCCGACCAUGCCGCUCGAUGAGCCCGCCCCCGCGCGCGGUGGCUCGCUCAGGCAGGCGGGCGGCCGGGCUCGACGGGGGGAUUCCAGCGAGGGCAGGUAAUCUGAAUUCAAAUUCUUGAAACAUUACCGGUGAGGCCAAGUCCGCCCCCGCCUGUCUGCUUCUUCGCCUGGCGCCGCGUCGGCAACGACGGGAACUAGCUCCAGCGACCGUGCCGCCAUCUCCGCCGCCGAAUCCCCCCAGGUCCCUGCUCUCCUCCGUUGGCAAGCAAGGUAAGCCUUGCCCUCAUCUCUUCCCUCCCUUCAUCCCCCUAUCGCUUCUUGUUGUCUUGUUGCUGCCGCAUGCCAUUGCUGCUUCUUGUUCAUGUGCCAAAUUCAAGAAAAUUGCUGAACAAUAGGCGCCUUUUUACCAUUUGCUUCUCUGUUCCAUCACACAGAGAACAUAAUUAGCAUGCAGUACCAUAUAUGCCCAUUUGUAAGUUGUUUGCAGUUUGGGUUCCUCUUUAGGAGCUCAAUUACCUGCAGUUUGUAGUAUAGACAUGAAAUUUUCUGGCAAGUUUUCUAUAUCAAAUGUGAUUAGAUGUUCCCCUAUGAAUUCUAGUAGUAAGGUAGUUGUGCUGUUAACUGACUAGAGUAUGGGAAUUCAUCUUGGUGAAAGGUGAGUGAAGUCUGACAGCUAAACAGAUUUUUGACUGUAUGGAUUGGUCCAGAGUUUCUAGUUGCAUGUUGGAGUUUGAUAGGAAUGCUACCAUUUCUCCGUAUGGCUGGGAGAAUGCAACUCUACUAAUCUGGAGUCCAAUGCUUACUGACUGGUACACCGUAAGAUAUAAAAUCUGAAUAAUUUUAUCCCUCAUGUGCCUGGUUUUGAAUUUUGCACAGCUAUUAGAGAUAUAGGAAAAGAUUAGUAUAAAGAUGGAAACCCGCACAAGUUUAAAAUACCUUAUCCUUACCUCUCUUCCUUCUGAAUUUGGUACCCAAAUUAUCUAUCUUAAAGUAAGCUACGUAAAAUAAAUUCUUAUAUGUUUGCCUCAAACAAUUGAUUAAGAUUUGGUGUUUGCUUUUUUUUGCUAGUUCAGGGGUCUCAGCUUGGCGAAAGGCGAUAGAAGUCCGGAUACUAGAAAGUUUCUUUACAGUAUUAAUUUAGCCCCUAGCAUUGCAUUGUACUCCCUCAUUUUGAAAAUAGAAGUUAUAAGUUUGUUCUAACUUAAAUAUCUGAAAGCUUAGCCCCUAGCAUUGCAUUGUACUCCCUCAUUUUGAAAAUAGAAGUUAUAAGUUUGUUCUAAAUUAAAUAUCUGAAAGCUGAACCAAAAUUAUAAAUUUGGGUUACAGCUGGAGGGGAAGUACAUUUGUAGUAAGUGCUAAGGAUUGACAGAAUAGACUCUAGACUACAAGAGUAGCUACAUAGUGUUAUGCAUGCCAUAAAAUAUAUCAAGCAUUUAUGUGCAAGUGAAUCUUGUUAGUACAUAUCAGUAUUUUGGAGCUUUUCUGUUCUUAGUUCUUAUUCUUCUGAAAGUUAGAGGGUAAGGCACACCCCUGUUGUGCAUAAUCUUUUGGCUUGUGUGGUUACUUCUUAAUUUCAGACUGCAAGUGUUUUUGUUUGGUGACCUAACUGCAUCGAGUCUACUAAACUCUGUCCAUGAAUCAUCAGGGUAACAUGAAAUUAAUUGUGAAAGAAAACACUAAUGUAUAGUGUUGUGGCGCAGCAGAGCACAACAGGAUCAAUUUUUUGCUUACUAAAAAGUCAUAAUUAUAUGCUAACUUUUUAGCUAAACGCUACUCGCUGCUGAUCUGACGCAAUUGGGCUAUGUGUUGUGCUUCGAGAGCUGAGAGCUACAGAAGCCAUUAUAUUGAGAAUAGAUGGCAUCUUAGAAGGGUAUGUAAGUCAGUCGCCUGACUUUGCUUUUUCAGUCAGAGAAUCUGUGCCUGAUUCUUGGAAGUACCAGCUAGGAAGCCAUGGAUGUUAACUUCUGUCUGCAACACUAAUACAGUAAUACUGCCAUUCUACUACUAUCUCUUUGCUCUGCUCUACCAGGUUCAUGUUGAAUCUCUGAUGUAGAUAUAGUAAUGUUGUUUGCUUUGUGCGGCAAUUGAAGAGCAUGUGGUAAUGUUGACAGCGUGGUGCUUUUUGCUGCUCCUGUUCAUGUUCAAGCAGCUGGGCACUCCUGAGCUGUGACAAAGAUAUUUGUGUCCAAUCUGAAACGGUAAAUUCACAAAGAUUUUUAUGUUCAAGGACCGUGUUCAAGUUUUAUGAGCAUAUUUAUCAUGUUCAAGUUUAUAUUUAUCCUUGGAGCUACAAUAAUAUAUUUAUAUUAUGUGA